AUUGGGCGUAAAGCGUCCGUAGGCGGUCAAUUAAGUCAGUCGUUAAAGACUGCAGCUCAACUGUGGGAGAGCAACUGAAACUGAUUAACUAGAGUAUGGUAGGGGUAGAGGGAAUUCCUAGUGUAGCGGUGAAAUGCGUAGAUAUUAGGAAGAACACCGGUGGCGAAGGCGCUCUACUGGGCCAAGACUGACGCUGAUGGACGAAAGCUAGGGGAGCGAAAGGGAUUAGAUACCCCUGUAGUCCUAGCUGUAAACGAUGGAUACUAGGUGUUGUGCGUAUCGACCCGUGCAGUACCGAAGCAAACGCGUUAAGUAUCCCGCCUGGGGAGUACGCACGCAAGUGUGAAACUCAAAGGAAUUGACGGGGGCCCGCACAAGCGGUGGAGUAUGUGGUUUAAUUCGAUGCAACGCGAAGAACCUUACCAGGACUUGACAUCCCUCGAAUACCUAAGAAAUUGGGUAGUGCCUUCGGGAGCGAGGAGACAGGUGGUGCAUGGCUGUCGUCAGCUCGUGUCGUGAGAUGUUGGGUUAAGUCCCGCAACGAGCGCAACCCACGUCUUUAGUUGCCAUCAUUCAGUUGGGCACUCUGGAGAGACUGCCGGGGACAACUCGGAGGAAGGUGUGGACGACGUCAAGUCAUCAUGCCCCUUACGUUCUGGGCUACACACGUACUACAAUGCAACGGACAAAGGGCAGCCAACUAGCGAUAGUGAGCUAAUCCCAUAAACCGUUGCUCAGUUCAGAUUGCAGGCUGCAACUCGCCUGCAUGAAGGAGGAAUCGCUAGUAAUCGCAGGUCAGCAUACUGCGGUGAAUACGUUCCCGGGCCUUGUACACACCGCCCGUCACACCAUGGAAGUUGGCCAUGCCCGAAG
RNAcentral lists this ribosomal RNA (873 nucleotides) under uncultured Phormidium sp. RNAcentral's name for it is "bacterial SSU rRNA". It matches the Rfam family "Bacterial small subunit ribosomal RNA", at positions 553 to 1426 of the family's 1533-position model. Lineage: Bacteria; Bacillati; Cyanobacteriota; Cyanophyceae; Oscillatoriales; Oscillatoriaceae. The record is from RNAcentral.